Molecule: ribosomal RNA, 253 nt
Filed under: uncultured bacterium
Lineage: Bacteria
Description: partial 16S ribosomal RNA
Rfam family: Bacterial small subunit ribosomal RNA
Source: RNAcentral
UACGGGGGGAGCAAGCGUUGUUCGGAUUUACUGGGCGUAAAGGGUGUGCAGGCUGCCCCUCAAGUGGUGUAUGAAAGGGCUCGGCUCAACCGGGCUAGGUUAUGCCAGACUGAGGGGCUAGAGAGCGAGAGAGGGAUGUGGAAUUCCAGGUGUAGCGGUGAAAUGCGUAGAUAUCUGGAGGAACACCGGUGGCGAAGGCGGCAUCCUGGACCGAUAUUGACGCUGAUGCGCGAAAGCCAGGGGAGCAAACGGG